CGGCGGACGGGUGAGUAACGCGUGGGUAACCUGCCUCAUACAGGGGGAUAACAGUUGGAAACGACUGCUAAUACCGCAUAAGCGCACAGUACCGCAUGGUACAGUGUGAAAAACUCCGGUGGUAUGAGAUGGACCCGCGUCUGAUUAGCUAGUUGGUGGGGUAACGGCCUACCAAGGCGACGAUCAGUAGCCGACCUGAGAGGGUGACCGGCCACAUUGGGACUGAGACACGGCCCAA
This 238-nucleotide ribosomal RNA is filed under the name uncultured bacterium. RNAcentral describes it as "partial 16S ribosomal RNA". It matches the Rfam family "Bacterial small subunit ribosomal RNA", at positions 96 to 334 of the family's 1533-position model. The record is from RNAcentral.